This 667-nucleotide unclassified non-coding RNA is filed under the name Hevea brasiliensis (rubber tree). The record is from RNAcentral. Lineage: Eukaryota; Viridiplantae; Streptophyta; Magnoliopsida; Malpighiales; Euphorbiaceae.
CAAAGAGGCUUUGAUACCAAAUUGCCACAGAACAAAAAGAAACCAAAAAUCAAGAAAAGCAAAUUGUCAAGAUUCAAAGAAAGUAAGAGAAUAAACAAACCAAGCUGAGUCAAGGUUCGAAGAGCUCAAACUCGGCUCGUAAAAUUUUUUUGAAGCUUGAACCAGCUCAUUUAGAAAACAAGCCAAAUAUCAACAAGUUUAAGCACGGUUUGAAAAACAAACCAAACCAAGCAAAACUUCUAUUGAGCCGAGUCUCAAAAAACUUGACUCAUUUACAGCCCUAGUAAAUUUUAGGCUUCAGCUUAUGAAGGUAAAAACUACAUAGUUUUAAUUAUGUUUCAGAUACUAAGAGUAAAAUUAAAUAAUUUUAGUUAAAUGAGCCAACUCGUAAGCCCGUUCACAAGUUCGCUCACGAACACAAACCUAUUAAACAAGCUAGCUCUCUAGUCUUAAUAAGCCAACUAUCAAUAAGUUCAAACUUGAAUCAUUUAUUAAACGAGCUUAAAAAUUAAGCUCAAGUUCAACUUAUUUGAAAAAUAAAUCAAACCGAGCCAAGCCUCGAAUAGCUCGGGAGCAACUCAUUUCCUAUACAGCCCUGAAAGAACAACAAAUUCUCUAGAGAAACCAAUUCUCAAAACAUUAUUUAAUUCUCAAUUAUAAUCAUAAU